UCAAGAGAUUUUGUCUCAGAAACCAACACAAAAACUAAAGGACCAGAAAGAGGAAGAAGCCCCAUAUUCUGUAGCCCAACCCACCACAGCACUGGAGAAAGAAGCAUCAUAUGUCUGGGAAGAGCAGUUCGUCUUCCUCAAGGGCUGCUCUAUUACAUCUUCAUGACACCAAGGAGAAGACAGCCUUCAUAGCCCAUACACUUUGUUUCUUUUUAUUUCGUAAAGGGACCAACUAUCUGCAAAGUUGUGGCAAUUGGAAGAUGCCAUGACAACGUUUCUCUCAGCCAUGCUGUGUGUAGCACUGAAUCAUCUGGUCCUCUGGAUGCCAUCAUUGGCAGGGGUCUUCUCUAAACCUAUACUCAGAGCAGUUCCAAGAAACGUGAUAACCACUGGAAACCAAGUUACAUUCUUCUGUCAAGGGCCCUUAGAGGCUAAGGAAUACCGUCUCUGCAAAGAAGGAAGUCAGGAUUGCUUGGUACCAACAACCCUUAUAGAAACUGAGAACUUGGCCAAAUUCUCUAUCUCAUCAAUUGAAUGGAACAAUGGAGGCCAAUAUAGGUGUGAAUAUAAGAGCCCCAAUGGUGCAUUAGAACACAGUGACUA
Long non-coding RNA from Peromyscus leucopus (white-footed mouse), 603 nucleotides. RefSeq lists it as uncharacterized. The record is from RefSeq and is a predicted model, not a curated record. Lineage: Eukaryota; Metazoa; Chordata; Mammalia; Rodentia; Cricetidae. The transcript has 3 exons.